UGGGGAAUUUUGGACAAUGGGCGAAAGCCUGAUCCAGCAAUGCCGCGUGUGUGAAGAAGGCCUUCGGGUUGUAAAGCACUUUUGUCCGGAAAGAAAUCCUUGGCUCUAAUACAGUCGGGGGAUGACGGUACCGGAAGAAUAAGCACCGGCUAACUACGUGCCAGCAGCCGCGGUAAUACGUAGGGUGCAAGCGUUAAUCGGAAUUACUGGGCGUAAAGCGUGCGCAGGCGGUUUGCUAAGACCGAUGUGAAAUCCCCGGGCUCAACCUGGGAACUGCAUUGGUGACUGGCAGGCUAGAGUAUGGCACGAGGGGUAGGGGUAAUAUCCACGUGUAGCAGUGAAAUGCGUAGAGAUGUGGAGGAAUACCGAUGGCGAAGGCAGCCCCCUGGGCCAAUACUGACGCUCAUGCACGAAAGCGUGGGGAGCAAACAGGAUUAGAUACCCUGGUAGUCCACGCCCUAAAACGAUGUCAACUAGUUGUUGGGGAUUCAUUUCCUUAGUAACGUAGCUAACGCGUGAAGUUGACCGCCUGGGGAGUACGGUCGCAAGAUUAAAACUCAAAUGAAUUGACGGGGUCAUAGCUGUUUCCU
RNAcentral lists this ribosomal RNA (590 nucleotides) under uncultured bacterium. RNAcentral describes it as "partial 16S ribosomal RNA". It matches the Rfam family "Bacterial small subunit ribosomal RNA", at positions 355 to 1375 of the family's 1533-position model. The record is from RNAcentral.